This 933-nucleotide ribosomal RNA is filed under the name Streptomyces sp. RNAcentral describes it as "bacterial SSU rRNA". It matches the Rfam family "Bacterial small subunit ribosomal RNA", at positions 1 to 889 of the family's 1533-position model. The record is from RNAcentral. Lineage: Bacteria; Bacillati; Actinomycetota; Actinomycetes; Kitasatosporales; Streptomycetaceae.
UUUAUUAUUUCCUUUCAUCUCAUUGUGUUUCUUGUCUAAUAGUUAGUUAUAUGUAUGCCUUAAAGUUUGAUCCUGGCUCAGGACGAAACGCUGGGGGGCGUGCUUAACACAUGCAAGUCGACCGAUGAACCACUUCGGUGGGGAUUAGUGGCGAACGGGUGAGUAACACGUGGGCAAUCUGCCCUGCACUCUGGGACAAGCCCUGGAAACGGGGUCUAAUACCGGAUACUGAUCCUCGCAGGCAUCUGCGAGGUUCGAAAGCUCCGGCGGUGCAGGAUGAGCCCGCGGCCUAUCAGCUUAGUUGGUGAGGUAACGGCUCACCAAGGCGACGACGGGUAGCCGGCCUGAGAGGGCGACCGGCCACACUGGGACUGAGACACGGCCCAGACUCCUACGGGAGGCAGCAGUGGGGAAUAUUGCACAAUGGGCGAAAGCCUGAUGCAGCGACGCCGCGUGAGGGAUGACGGCCUUCGGGUUGUAAACCUCUUUCAGCAGGGAAGAAGCGAAAGUGACGGUACCUGCAGAAGAAGCGCCGGCUAACUACGUGCCAGCAGCCGCGGUAAUACGUAGGGCGCAAGCGUUGUCCGGAAUUAUUGGGCGUAAAGAGCUCGUAGGCGGCUUGUCACGUCGGUUGUGAAAGCCCGGGGCUUAACCCCGGGUCUGCAGUCGAUACGGGCAGGCUAGAGUUCGGUAGGGGAGAUCGGAAUUCCUGGUGUAGCGGUGAAAUGCGCAGAUAUCAGGAGGAACACCGGUGGCGAAGGCGGAUCUCUGGGCCGAUACUGACGCUGAGGAGCGAAAGCGUGGGGAGCGAACAGGAUUAGAUACCCUGGUAGUCCACGCCGUAAACGGUGGGCACUAGGUGUGGGCAACAUUCCCACGUUGUCCCGUGCCGCAGCCUAACGCAAUUAAGGCCCCGCCUUGGGGACCCCCCGC